This is an RNA transcript of Drosophila biarmipes, 1573 nucleotides long. RefSeq lists it as uncharacterized. The transcript is spliced from 5 exons. The record is from RefSeq and is a predicted model, not a curated record. Lineage: Eukaryota; Metazoa; Arthropoda; Insecta; Diptera; Drosophilidae.
AGUCUGUAAAUUUACCAUAAAAAUUGCGCCUCCGUUAUCGGUACCUCGGGCUAUGGUUUCCUGUCUUUUCUCUGCUACACUGGGAAAGUUACAAGAUUCGAAAAAUACUUUCAGGCUUGUUAUCAGCGUGUUUUCCUUCUAGUAUUUUCCGGAGGAUGUCAAUUUCAGAGGCAAACUUUUCAGCAGUUUUCCCUAUAUGCACUGUUAGAGCAAUUUUAGUCUUUAUUACAUCGGAUGCUUUACAACAUUGCCGUAAUAGAGUUUUCGCCUAUAGAGUUUAAUCCUGAGAGUUUUCGACUUAAUUACUUUAAGAGCGUGGCGUUGAAAUGGCCUUUGGGCAAGACAACCAAAUUGACAGAUGUGACUUUAAUCUACCUGAUAUUUCUUGGUCUCCUCCUACUGACUCAUUUGUCGCUAUGCCGUUAUCCGCCCAUGAUCUUGUGAAUGGCCUUUUAGAUUUAUCGUUACAGCAAACCCGUCUGAAAUCACGAUAAUCGACGUUUCUAAAUUUAUACUCUUCUCAGUAGAACAAUUUUCGUCUAUUGGACAAUCAUCAAUUAUUUUAAAAAAAAGUAAAAACCUUUGCAAUGUUUUACCUGUUAACUUGAAUUCAACGUUAAAACAAAAGGCUUGGAAAUCACUUGUUUUACUUGGAACGACAUGGAUGUCAUCCCUAAACGCUAGGAGCUACUUGACCCUGUUGGAAAAUUUGUCGAACAUAUUUACAUUUUGCUUGUGAAAUUGAUAUAAUCUGACAUUAAAUUUAAAAAUAGUGCUGCAAAACACUCAACAGCAUGAUUUGUGUUUUUACUCUGUAUUAUUAGGCGACUACUUUUUGUGGGUCUCGCGUGUGUCUUUAAUUUUUAAAAUUCAAUGAAACGCUUAGAUACAUUAUUUAAGUAAAUAUUACUGACUAAAAUUGUAGAACUAUUUUCUUAUAAAAUAGCAUCCUCUUUAUUUAAAUUAUUCUUGCGUUUUUUAAUGUACACUUUACUAUUAAACAAAUUUUACUAAACAGUUAUACUAAUUAUACUUUAUAAAACCUAUAUAUAUAUACAUCACUUUAUAAAACCAUGCACCUAAAAAUACUAUGCUUAAGGACAAGGAAAAAAAGGUGAUUGAUGCGUUGCAAUUGUCGAUAUCGUGACAGAAUUCUUUUGAAUUACAGAAAAUCUUGGUAGAAUCGGUUCUAAACGCAGACCAAAUAAUAAACUCUCAUCUUUAGGCGCAUAAUCCUACAUAUGUAAAAUAAAAUUGUUAAAUAAAUAUUUAUAUAUAUAUGUAAGUUAACAACCAACUUCCAGCUUAGGCUGAGCAGGCCAAUUCUUAUUUCCUUUAUUAAUAUUAAUCAUUUAUCAAUGUUUAUCAUUUUCUAGUAUUAUUAAUUUUUUAUUAUAAUUAUUAGUAUUACACUUUUACCUCAUGCAUGGUCCACCCUAAAUUGAGUCCACCUUAUUGGCCCUAGAGCUGAGCCAGCACAUUGUACCAUUCCGAGCCGUGGCUUCUUUUCAUUGUCUGACAGCGAUCGUAUGAAUUCUGCAAAAUGUGCAAGGUUAUCGGUCUGCCACGGGCA